Non-coding RNA from Danio rerio (zebrafish), 73 nucleotides. The record is from Rfam. Lineage: Eukaryota; Metazoa; Chordata; Actinopteri; Cypriniformes; Danionidae.
GCCCGGCUACCUCAGUCGGUAGAGCAUGAGACUCUUAAUGUCAGGGUCGUGGGUUCGAGCCCCACGUUGAGCG